RNAcentral lists this ribosomal RNA (431 nucleotides) under uncultured bacterium. RNAcentral's name for it is "partial 16S ribosomal RNA". It matches the Rfam family "Bacterial small subunit ribosomal RNA", at positions 29 to 507 of the family's 1533-position model. The record is from RNAcentral.
AACGAACGCUGGCGGCAGGCUUAACACAUGCAAGUCGAACGCCCCGCAAGGGGAGUGGCAGACGGGUGAGUAACGCGUGGGAACAUACCCUUUUCUACGGAAUAGCUCUGGGAAACUGGAAUUAAUACCGUAUACGCCCUACGGGGGAAAGAUUUAUCGGGGAAGGAUUGGCCCGCGUUGGAUUAGCUAGUUGGUGGGGUAAAGGCCUACCAAGGCGACGAUCCAUAGCUGGUCUGAGAGGAUGAUCAGCCACAUUGGGACUGAGACACGGCCCAAACUCAUACGGGAGGCAGCAGUGGGGAAUAUUGGACAAUGGGCGCAAGCCUGAUCCAGCCAUGCCGCGUGAGUGAUGAAGGCCUUAGGGUUGUAAAGCUCUUUCACCGAUGAAGAUAAUGACGGUAGUCGGAGAAGAAGCCCCGGCUAACUUCGUG